UGCGGCCAUGGCUUGGCGGACCUCGGCUGUGGGAGCUCUUCCAACAAAAAGAUGACGGUAUGGGUUGUGAGAAGGUUUUACAUGGAGGUGACUCAGCAAAGCAUUUUUCUUUAGAGAAGCAGCUGGAAGGACAGAGAGUGGAAAGAAAAUGGGAAGUAUUGUGGAACAUGAGAAUAAAGGAACAACUCUGCAGCAAAUGCAAUGUCUUAACCACAGCACUGAACAACUGUUGAGAACCACACUGGAAGUGAGCACCAGAAAAUAAUGCUGUAGGAGGAGGCUGUGCAGAAUGGCAAUAACCCUCACUGUACCAUAAAAAACAACUGGAAGGUGUAGUGCAGGUUACAGCAUCUGAAAAGACACUUCUAGAGAAGGGGCACCACACUGCCUCAGAUAAGUGGCCAUAUCUGUGCUGGUGGAAAGUGAUACAGUUCCACUGGAGGGGAAGGGACCAAAGAGAUUUUCCUUAUCUGCGGACCUGCUCAUUGGUUUGUAAGAUAUGAGCUUUCAUGGCCCAUUGACAUGUUUCAGUUCUUUUGUUCAUGACCACUUUUCUUCCAUGGUUUGUGUGCUACAGAUGGUAACCUGAGUCUCUCUUUACGGCUCACACAGAGUAAAUGGUAUCAGUACCAGUGAACGAUGGAGAAAAAAAUGAUGAAAAUAAGGUCAAGAAGCACUGUGUACCUAAUUGCCUGUGAAUCUCACAUCUCGUGCUGACAGAGACGGGAGUCGGAGUGCUCUGUUUGCUUCCACAUGCUCCAGAGAUCACGUAUGACCAAAAUGGUGACAGCUUCAGUAACAGGUUGCUUUGCCUUGCCGUGCUCUUCAAGAAAGAAAUCUAUUCUGCAAUAUACAACUUCCAUCUUUCUGAGAGGCUUUCCUCCUUGAAUCCUUAUCUGUGAAGGACUGGCAGAAGGAAAGGCAAGAACUUGAAAGCAGCCUGAAUCAAAGAUGGGCUGCCCAAGCCAUGUGGAGAGUGACUGCUGGGCAAGAGAGGAGCCUGCUGGCAGUGGCAGGAGGCACAGAGAGUGGCACUCAGUGGGCCCUUGCCAUUCAAGCGCUCUAAGAAAGCCACCACCCAAACUGGUGCUGCUGUGGGCCAGACCCACAGCAGACAGUGGGAACAGCAGCACAGUUAGAGUUUCGUAAGUUGAAAGGUCACAGGUAGCUGCUUCUGGAAAGAUAUUUGAGUACUAAACCUUCUCCAUUGUCACGUCCUUUUAUUUUUUUAUCUACUUAUUUAUUUGAUGGUUCUGGAAAUUACAUGUUUGAG
RNAcentral lists this long non-coding RNA (1273 nucleotides) under Gallus gallus (chicken). RNAcentral's name for it is "lncRNA (ENSGALG00010002131.1)". The record is from RNAcentral. Lineage: Eukaryota; Metazoa; Chordata; Aves; Galliformes; Phasianidae.